AGUUUUUAAAAGUAUUACUAGAUUCAUAAAUUCUCAAGGAUUUAACAAAAGUUAAAAUUUUUAGAAAAUAUGCAUAAAUGGAAAAAGUUUACUUAUUUAGAAAUCAUCCACUCACCGAGUUAUAAACUCAUAUAUUUUUAUCAUGCUUUCCUAUCAGGAGACCGUCGAUUUUGAGACACUGGGAAAAGCCUGCUGAAGCGAAAGAGACCGUUUCAUAGUAUGUAAUAUAUAGUUGGGGAACUCAUGUUUAUUAAGUACUUGUCUAAUAUUUGGUGUGUCAUGAACUUCGUAGAAAGGUUGGUAAUUGAUGUAAUGCUUGCAUGUUGACAUGAUGAUGUUGUAGAAGCACUCAGUCGAAUGUUGUUAUAUUUUGUUGUAGUUGUGGUGGUAUUAAAGGAAGUGGUGGUUUCCAAAACUUUUGGUUUAAAUAUCUAUUUGAGAUUUUGAUGAUUUUUCAGGUUGGUUUUGUCCAUGUUACAGGGGAAACUCUGUCAAAAUUUUUAUAGACU
Molecule: long non-coding RNA, 509 nt
Filed under: Olea europaea subsp. europaea
Lineage: Eukaryota; Viridiplantae; Streptophyta; Magnoliopsida; Lamiales; Oleaceae
Source: RNAcentral